ACAAGUUCCUGGGAUGAUUGCAGCAGGCUGCUGGGGUGUGGUGGCAGUUGCUGAAUUCCAAAAUGACUGAAUUAUUGCUGGUGGAUGUUUUCCUUCAAUCUACCCAAAGCAUGAGGACAGCAAAAUGAACUGCAGAUUUGCCUUGUCUAUACCCUCUUUGGUGAAGUGUCCAUUGUGCUUGUUAUUCCCAGCUGAGAGCUGUGUGGAUGCCUGGGUAGCAGUGGGUCUCUCCUCACCACCUUCUGGGCAACCACCCAUAAUUCUUCAUUCCUGUGGUGCCCAAAUGAAUGGAGACUAACCAGCUCUGUUUAGAGGCAUUUCCUGGCUUCCCACUGCUCACAAAGGCGUGGGCCCCGCCCUUGCCUGCUUCCCAUCACUGAGGCACCUGCCUCCACCAUGGAGGAGUCCUUGACCAGCAGCUCAUAGUGGACUUGGCAGUCUGCCCUGCACCAGGGAAAUGUGUGUCUUCUUCCUGAUGCUUGGUGUGAUUAAGACCAUGAGGGAGCAUAUUGAAAGUCUACAUCCAGCUGCAGCAAUUUGUCAGUCUUCAUUAUAGCAAGCUGUGUGGCAGCACCACUGGAGAAAAGGGUCAGUGUGGCUUCCAAUUAAAACUCCCUAUUGAAGAUGGAUUUAUGUUUGGUCUAUUUCAAACCACAUUGGGCUGCAACUUAUCAUCUAGGUUGUCAAGCUGGAAGCACUUUCCUUUUUUAGUGCAAAGGGUUUAAAAGCCAUUAAUUCGUUUUUGUUUAAGAUGUAAAGAUACAAACAAAUGAGUGUGUGUUU
Molecule: long non-coding RNA, 783 nt
Organism: Pipistrellus kuhlii (Kuhl's pipistrelle)
Lineage: Eukaryota; Metazoa; Chordata; Mammalia; Chiroptera; Vespertilionidae
Exons: 4
Source: RefSeq, a predicted model, not a curated record